GAUGAACGCUGGCGGCGUGCCUAAUACAUGCAAGUCGAGCGAACAGACGAGGAGCUUGCUCCUCUGACGUUAGCGGCGGACGGGUGAGUAACACGUGGAUAACCUACCUAUAAGACUGGGAUAAUUUCGGGAAACCGGAGCUAAUACCGGAUAAUAUAUUGAACCGCAUGGUUCAAUAGUGAAAGACGGUUUUGCUGUCACUUAUAGAUGGAUCCGCGCCGCAUUAGCUAGUUGGUAAGGUAACGGCUUACCAAGGCAACGAUGCGUAGCCGACCUGAGAGGGUGAUCGCUCACCCUGGAACUGAGGCCCGGUCCCAACUCCUACGGGGGGCAGCGGUAGGGAAUCUUCCGGAAUGGGCGAGAGCCUGACGGAGCAACGCCGCGUGAAGGAUGAAGGUCUUCGGAUCGUAAAACUCUGUUAUUAGGGAAGAACAAAUGUGUAAGUAACUAUGCACGUAUUGACAGUACCUAAUCAGAAAGCCACGGCUAACUACGUG
This 497-nucleotide ribosomal RNA is filed under the name uncultured bacterium. RNAcentral describes it as "partial 16S ribosomal RNA". It matches the Rfam family "Bacterial small subunit ribosomal RNA", at positions 28 to 507 of the family's 1533-position model. The record is from RNAcentral.